RNAcentral lists this ribosomal RNA (497 nucleotides) under uncultured bacterium. Its description in RNAcentral is "partial 16S ribosomal RNA". It matches the Rfam family "Bacterial small subunit ribosomal RNA", at positions 28 to 507 of the family's 1533-position model. The record is from RNAcentral.
GAUGAACGCUGGCGGCGUGCCUAAUACAUGCAAGUCGAGCGAACAGAUAAGGAGCUUACUCCUUUGACGUUAGCGGCGGACGGGUGAGUAACACGUGGGUAACCUACCUAUAAGACUGGAAUAACUCCGGGAAACCGGGGCUAAUGCCGGAUAACAUUUAGAACCGCAUGGUUCUAAAGUGAAAGAUGGUUUUGCUAUCACUUAUAGAUGGACCCGCGCCGUAUUAGCUAGUUGGUAAGGUAACGGCUUACCAAGGCAACGAUACGUAGCCGACCUGAGAGGGUGAUCGGCCACACUGGAACUGAGACACGGUCCAGACUCCUACGGGAGGCAGCAGUAGGGAAUCUUCCGCAAUGGGCGAAAGCCUGACGGAGCAACGCCGCGUGAGUGAUGAAGGUCUUCGGAUCGUAAAACUCUGUUAUUAGGGAAGAACAAAUGUGUAAGUAACUAUGCACGUCUUGACGGUACCUAAUCAGAAAGCCACGGCUAACUACGUG